RNAcentral lists this ribosomal RNA (774 nucleotides) under uncultured Neocallimastigales. RNAcentral's name for it is "partial large subunit ribosomal RNA". It matches the Rfam family "Eukaryotic large subunit ribosomal RNA", at positions 26 to 621 of the family's 3401-position model. Lineage: Eukaryota; Fungi; Neocallimastigomycota; Neocallimastigomycetes; Neocallimastigales. The record is from RNAcentral.
CGCAUCUGUGCAUGCAGCAUAUCAAUAAGCGGAGGAAAAGAAACUAACAAGGAUUCCCUUAGUAACGGCGAGUGAAGCGGGAAGAGCUCAAAUUUGAAAUCUUCAAGGUUUUACCUUGACGAAUUGUAGUUUAAAGAAGUGCUUUCUGUUGAAGUUUUGGUAAAAGUUCUUUGGAAUAGGACAUUCAUAGAGGGUGAGAAUCCCGUAUUUGACCAUUAUUUUCAGCUGUGUGAUACACUUUCAAAGAGUCGGAUUGUUUGGGAAUGCAGUCCAAAAUGGGUGGUAAAUUUCAUCUAAAGCUAAAUAUUGGCGAGAGACCGAUAGCGAACAAGUACCGUGAGGGAAAGAUGAAAAGAACUUUGAAAAGAGAGUUAAACAGUACGUGAAAUUGUCAAAGGGAAGCGUUUGACACCAGUGUUGUUUUCUCGAAAAUCAAUUAAAAAGAGUUUGAUUUUGUUGUGUAUUGACCUUAACAGCUUGCAUUUCAAUUUUCUUGCUUUUUUUAAUGCACUUUUCGUUUAACAAGUCAACAUCAGUUUCUUUUGUUGUAAAAAGGUCAUUGGAAGGUGGCUUUCUUUUCGGAGAAAGUGUUUAUAGCCUUUGACUCCUGCAAUCGGAGAGACUGGGGUCUGCAGCGUAGAUCCUUCGGGGUUAGAUACAUUUGUGCUAAGUUAUAGCUUUUUAUAGACAACUUGUUGACUAUGAUUAGUCUUGUAGCUUACUCGCUUAUGCUAUUUUACCUACGCUUAGGAUGUUGAACUCUAUCACACACAG